Molecule: ribosomal RNA, 1689 nt
Filed under: Vibrio cholerae
Lineage: Bacteria; Pseudomonadati; Pseudomonadota; Gammaproteobacteria; Vibrionales; Vibrionaceae
Description: partial 23S ribosomal RNA
Rfam family: Bacterial large subunit ribosomal RNA
Source: RNAcentral
UAAGCCGUUGAAGGUGAAUCGUAAGGUUUGCUGGAGGUAUCAGAAGUGCGAAUGCUGACAUGAGUAACGACAAAGGGGGUGAAAAACCUCCUCGCCGGAAGACCAAGGGUUCCUGUCCAACGUUAAUCGGGGCAGGGUGAGUCGACCCCUAAGGUGAGGCCGAAAGGCGUAAUCGAUGGGAAACGGGUUAAUAUUCCCGUACUUCUGACUAUUGCGAUGGGGGGACGGAGAAGGCUAGGUGGGCCAGGCGACGGUUGUCCUGGUUCAAGUGCGUAGGCUUGAGAGUUAGGUAAAUCCGGCUCUCUCUAAGGCUGAGACACGACGUCGAGCUGCUACGGCAGUGAAGUCAUUGAUGCCAUGCUUCCAGGAAAAGCCUCUAAGCUUCAGAUAGUCAGGAAUCGUACCCCAAACCGACACAGGUGGUCGGGUAGAGAAUACCAAGGCGCUUGAGAGAACUCGGGUGAAGGAACUAGGCAAAAUGGUACCGUAACUUCGGGAGAAGGUACGCUCUUGAUGGUGAAGUCCCUCGCGGAUGGAGCUGACGAGAGUCGCAGAUACCAGGUGGCUGCAACUGUUUAUUAAAAACACAGCACUGUGCAAAAUCGCAAGAUGACGUAUACGGUGUGACGCCUGCCCGGUGCCGGAAGGUUAAUUGAUGGGGUUAGCGCAAGCGAAGCUCUUGAUCGAAGCCCCGGUAAACGGCGGCCGUAACUAUAACGGUCCUAAGGUAGCGAAAUUCCUUGUCGGGUAAGUUCCGACCUGCACGAAUGGCGUAAUGAUGGCCACGCUGUCUCCACCCGAGACUCAGUGAAAUUGAAAUCGCUGUGAAGAUGCAGUGUACCCGCGGCUAGACGGAAAGACCCCGUGAACCUUUACUACAGCUUGGCACUGAACAUUGAACCUACAUGUGUAGGAUAGGUGGGAGGCUAUGAAGACGUGACGCCAGUUGCGUUGGAGCCGUCCUUGAAAUACCACCCUUGUAUGUUUGAUGUUCUAACUUAGCCCCAUUAUCUGGGGUGAGGACAGUGCCUGGUGGGUAGUUUGACUGGGGCGGUCUCCUCCCAAAGAGUAACGGAGGAGCACGAAGGUGGGCUAAUCACGGUUGGACAUCGUGAGGUUAGUGCAAUGGCAUAAGCCCGCUUAACUGCGAGAAUGACGGUUCGAGCAGGUGCGAAAGCAGGUCAUAGUGAUCCGGUGGUUCUGUAUGGAAGGGCCAUCGCUCAACGGAUAAAAGGUACUCCGGGGAUAACAGGCUGAUACCGCCCAAGAGUUCAUAUCGACGGCGGUGUUUGGCACCUCGAUGUCGGCUCAUCACAUCCUGGGGCUGAAGUCGGUCCCAAGGGUAUGGCUGUUCGCCAUUUAAAGUGGUACGCGAGCUGGGUUUAGAACGUCGUGAGACAGUUCGGUCCCUAUCUGCCGUGGGCGUUGGAAGAUUGAAGGGGGCUGCUCCUAGUACGAGAGGACCGGAGUGGACGAACCUCUGGUGUUCGGGUUGUGUCGCCAGACGCAUUGCCCGGUAGCUAAGUUCGGAAUUGAUAAGCGCUGAAAGCAUCUAAGCGCGAAGCGAGCCCUGAGAUGAGUCUUCCCUGACAGUUUAACUGUCCUAAAGGGUUGUUCGAGACUAGAACGUUGAUAGGCAGGGUGUGUAAGCGUUGUGAGGCGUUGAGCUAACCUGUACUAAUUGCCCGU